UUUAUUGCCACAUAUGAUGCAGUGUACUAAGUUGCAGAAAAACUGAAAUCUAAACAACAAUAACAACAAAAUAACAAUAAUAUAAAUAAUUUUAAAAACACUAUAGUGUAUUAACAAAUAGAAAGCAGAGAAAUAUUCUUUAUUAACAUAAAACACACAAUUUUAAUAUUAAAAUUGAAACAUUAGUCACUGACAACAUAUUGUAGGCCUGUAUACUCGAUAAAUCAUGGUAAGGUACUGUAUUUAAGAACGUUAACAAUGAGGAAAAUAAAUGAAAAUCACAGUACGUGUAGGCCACACAAGUUCUUGUCAAUUGUUUUUAAUUUAAAUUUGACUUAUUAAUUAAUAGAUUAAGUUAUUUUUUUUUCCAUUAGGCCUAUUUUUUUCAUUUUUUUUGUAGACUUAAAUACAAGUCAUGGUUUAUGGAUAUUCCCUCUUAUUCUUCCAAUUUAUUCAUACUCCAAUCAAGAUUCAAAAAGAAAACGUUCAGUGAAUGAGUGCUGCCUCCCGAUCCAUACCGUACCGUACGUCACAUGCUCUAUUGUCAAUACUCCUGGGUUUUAAAAAAGAGCAAUCCAAGUGCAAGUUCAUAUAAGCUCAAGACUAUGGAGUUGCAUUUUUGUGUAAGUCUGAAAAGAGAAAUUAAAGAGACAAAUUAAAUAUGGCAACAGUUAUCCUAAAUAAGGAAACAGCUAUCCCAAAAACAGCAACUGCUCUCACAAAAAGGCAAUAAAUCUCACAAGAAAGGCAACUACCCCUUUCAUAAAAAGCAACAGCUCUCUGAAAAAGGCAACAGCACUCCAAACAAGAUAACAGCACUCCAAACAAGAUAACAGCUCUCCCAAGGAAGGCAACAACUCUCACAAGAAAGGCAACAGUUUUCCCAAGAAAGGCAACAACACUCCCACAGAAGGAUGCUUUAUUCAGUGUAAAUAUAGUGUUAACAAAAACCUUUUAUAUUACAGUCAAGAGGUCAAACUCAGGCUUCAAAAGCAGCUAACAAGAUCAUUGCUCGAUUAGCUCAUAUGAUGUUCAACAUCUGUGCCUUCAGGUUGGUGCGAAUAUUCAAGAUUUGUUGUCUGGUA
Molecule: long non-coding RNA, 1085 nt
Organism: Anneissia japonica
Lineage: Eukaryota; Metazoa; Echinodermata; Crinoidea; Comatulida; Comatulidae
Exons: 3
Source: RefSeq, a predicted model, not a curated record